CCUACGGGCGGCAUCAGUGGGGAAUAUUGGACAAUGGGCGAAAGCCUGAUCCAGCCAUGCCGCGUGUGUGAAGAAGGCCUUCGGGUUGUAAAGCACUUUCAGUGGGGAAGAAAGCCUUGGGGCUAAUACCCUCGAGGAAGGACAUCACCCACAGAAGAAGCACCGGCUAACUCCGUGCCAGCAGCCGCGGUAAUACGGAGGGUGCGAGCGUUAAUCGGAAUUACUGGGCGUAAAGCGCGCGUAGGCGGUCUGAUAAGUCGGUUGUGAAAGCCCCGGGCUCAACCUGGGAACGGCAUCCGGAACUGUCAGGCUAGAGUGCAGGAGAGGAAGGUAGAAUUCCCGGUGUAGCGGUGAAAUGCGUAGAGAUCGGGAGGAAUACCAGUGGCGAAGGCGGCCUUCUGGACUGACACUGACGCUGAGGUGCGAAAGCGUGGGUAGCAAACAGGAUUAGAUACCCUGGUAGUC
This 465-nucleotide ribosomal RNA is filed under the name Vreelandella stevensii. RNAcentral describes it as "partial 16S ribosomal RNA". It matches the Rfam family "Bacterial small subunit ribosomal RNA", at positions 338 to 795 of the family's 1533-position model. The record is from RNAcentral. Lineage: Bacteria; Pseudomonadati; Pseudomonadota; Gammaproteobacteria; Oceanospirillales; Halomonadaceae.